This is a non-coding RNA of Salvia hispanica, 738 nucleotides long. The record is from RefSeq and is a predicted model, not a curated record. NCBI's taxonomy places the organism in Eukaryota, Viridiplantae, Streptophyta, Magnoliopsida, Lamiales, Lamiaceae.
GAUGCUGCAGUACUGCUACAAAGAGGAACAAAGGUGAUAGGAAAUUAGAGAAGGAUACAUUGACGACCUAUGUGGAAACAUCUGUGAAAUCUGAUGAGCAGAUUGAGAAACCAAAGAAAAAAAGAAGACAACAUACUUGAAGUUUAAUGGAAAGACAGACAUGCAUGAUUCAAAUACUUAGAUACGUUUUGAUGAGAUAAAAGCAUCCCAAUGGACGUCCUUGCUGCCAUAUAAUUUUCUGAAUGAAGACAAGUGAUCAUCAUACCGGGUUUUGGUGCUGGCAACUAUACCGGGUUUGAUCAUCGUAUAUCUAUCCUUGGGUCCAAUGUAGAUUCUUUCAUCUUUCCAUAAGCAAAGUAGACCUUUGUCAAUCAAUGUCAGCUGCAGCAUUGCUAAGCUACUAAGAUUACGUUUUUGGCAUUUAUGGUGCAUCAUAUAUUAGAUCAAAGGUCUUUUGAUUUUUCAAUUGAUUGUGUAAUUUGUAAUUGCAGUUUUAAGAGAAUUGUGCAAAAUGUAAUACCAUUACUGCUUGUCACAUACGAAAUCCGAAAUGAAUAUCCACUUUCCUCUGUAACCAACAGCAUAAGCCCUGAAUAGUUACUGGCUUAUAUCCUUGUUAGCAUAAUCUUUGCAUUUCUUUGUACUAGGUAGGGCACAUGAGGGCUUGAUUUUUUUCGAGAUGUAAUGUACUAAUGUUUAUAACCAUUUGUUCGAUUUCUAUUUGGAAAUGAUUUUGUA